AAAGAAGCAAAGAUAGAGAAAAUCAAUACUGAUGGUGUGUUACUGAUUAAAGGUGUGGUGUCUUCCAGUUUCCUGGUGAUUGUUUUCAUCACUGAAAACUAUUCAAAUGAUUGAAGUCAUUUAGGAAGAGUGAAGAGCUGUACUGUCCAAAUUAAGAAGACAAACUGUCAGGGCUACUGCCAGAAAUGGGUAAACUAUUUUAUAUACCCUACCAUCAGCAGCACUCACCUGGUCCAGUGAACAGCAGUACUCAUUCAAAAGCAGAGGGAGGGUUCGGAGUCUUACAAAGACUGCUAAAACUUACAUGUGUUCAAAAACACCACCUAGAGCGGAUGAUGUUUGAAAGCCAUGGAAAUGGGCACAGUGGCAAUUCAGAGAAUGCUGGCUAUUUGUCUUCCAAGAGGAAGGAGGAUGAGUAAGUAUGCUUGAGAAGGUACUAUCAAUUGUGUAUCUUCUGACACCUGGGGAAGGUCUCACCUCCGGAUCGGAUCCUGAGGUAUUCUAGUCCCAUGUCUAUUUGCCUAAAAAGUGCUUGGAUUGCCUCUUCUACUUGAAACACAAACAUCACCUUAUCUUUGCAUUAAAACUUGUUUUUUACUUGAGCAACUUAAGCCAACUCCUUGCUCUUGCAUGAAACACCUUCUCUUUCUCCAUCUGGCCAGCAUUCCCUCUCUCAGCUUCCCAUGGACCCAUUUCCAAAUUGCUGUAAUCUACCCACUAAUAUGCUAUGAGCAAUUGCAAUGUGUGUGCCAUGAUCACCACUUACCUUCACAGUGACUGACUCUAGCCAGUUCUGGUCAUGUCCCCAGUUAGACAUAAGUCUGCUUAACAUCAGGAACAACUGGGUCAACAUGAAUCUACCUGGAUGGUAGCAGGAUUCUCAAUACUAUUCCUUCCAUCAAAUCCCUAGACAAUUGUGUGGGGUUUUCCUAGCAACAGUUAUAUGUCAAGAAUUGUAGAACUUUCUGGGUGGGUGAGUCAUAGUAAUAAAUACAUUUGUCUUUCUAAUUCACAUAUGCAAAAGCUCAGACAAUGGUCUCCCAGCUAACUAGAUGCAGCGUGAAUCUAGUUAGAAGGUCUGGGGUAAUCUCCAUACAGAGGAUCUCUACAGAGAAUUUUAUUCUUUAGAUUUUAUAAUGAAAGAGACAAAAUUAUCCAGCUUUUCACUGGAGGAAAACCAUUUGGGCCAUAGUGAAUGAAACACACUGACUGGGAGUCUAUUCUCUAAAUUACUGAGGCGCUAGCCUGGGCACUUUUAUUCCUUUUUUAAAAAAAUUGUAUUGCCUCUUUAAAGUAGGUUAUUUUUAUAGCUAUAGAAUCCUGCAACAGUAAACAGGAGGUGAAUGUAUCCGGCUUUAAAGGUGAAAAAGGUUAUUUAAGAGUGUUAUCAGAACUAGCCAGCUGCAAACACACACAGUAUCAGAAAACCAUAAGGCUUUCCCUUGUAGCAGGACUCAAUUAUUCAUUAGGCCACCCUGCUGCACAGGGGAGGGUGCUUAUAAACUUAGUGUCACAAAACCCUCUUGAUGUCCAGCCCUCCCUACCAUACUGUGGUAGAGAUGAACAGUUUAGGGAGUAGUAAUUAUCUCUCCAUCCUCCCUUCAUCUCAGAUGCACUAGAGAUUUGAAAGUGAUAGUAAUAGGAACAAUAAUGAUAAUGGUUGCCAUUUCUGGCACUUCCCAAGUUCCAGGGUAAGUCUUUAUCCUAAGCGUAGGUAAGUGAGUUGUAGGACAUGAUAGAGUAAGUUAGUGUAAGGGGUGGGAUUUGAGUCUUUUGAAGAGGAAAAAAUUAUGAUUUUCACCUGUUACUCUGACAUUUCUAAUCCUUCUUAUAGAAUAAUGCUAAUGCUAAUUAACCCUUUGGGAAAAUUUUUUUAAAGUUAAGGAGCAAUGGUUUCACGUGCAAAUCAUCUGCCCACAUAACUUUUGGAGCUUCAACUAGCAUAUAAAAGGCUCUGAGAAGGUCUGCAGUACAGACAACUAUUUUUCUUGUGUAACUCAGAGUCCACAAAUUCAUUUUGACUUCAGAUCCCCAUUUCCUAUCCCAUAAGGCGAGAUUCUAUUGCUAGAGCUAUAUAUGGACAGUGAUAUGUACUGAAUAAGGGAAGCCAGGAAAUCCCCUGUAGUUGAAAGUGGAAACCUAUUUUCCAUAAGAUCUCUUCAGAUCUUCUUUCUACUCUAUUUUGAAGCAUAGCCCUCUAGGGCCUUGUGUCAGUUCCUUCUGCUCAGAGUGGUGGUUACGGGGGGAAGAUGUUGGCUCCCAAGUCUCACUCCUACUCUCACAAGCUGAGAUGUAAUAGGCACUUUGUUAGGUGUUUGAACUUAAGUGUUGUUAUCUGUGAAAUAAUGGUUUAGAAAAAUGAAGCUUUAUUUCAUAGAGAUGUGAUAACGAGAAAUAAUAUGUUGAAAGCACUCAAAACAACUUACUGUCCUUAUUGCUCUCAGCACACCAGUGUGGAAAAGGUGAUGAUCCCAUGUCAGGAAAUCACAUCUGCUCUUUCUCAGCUCCAUAAAAUUCCCUUCCCUUUUAAUGUCCAGC
RNAcentral lists this long non-coding RNA (2538 nucleotides) under Heterocephalus glaber (naked mole-rat). Its description in RNAcentral is "lncRNA (ENSHGLG00000038091.1)". Lineage: Eukaryota; Metazoa; Chordata; Mammalia; Rodentia; Bathyergidae. The record is from RNAcentral.